UACUCCACAGUACCUCCGCAUUUGAAGAUUGUCUUCCUGAGACUAUAUCCAUGUGACUUGAUGGAAUCUUGGAAAGCACCUUGAUCACAAAAGUAAUAAAUUCAAAGCCAAGUCCAAGGGUUAAAGUUGGACACAAAAUGAGAAGUUUGGGGAGAUAAGGCUUGGGAGUUGAGAUCCUGCAUGGAAAACAAGAUGAAUUAACUUCCCAGGCUGCGCUUUGGUAUCAGGAUGAUGCUGGCCUCAUAAAA
RNAcentral lists this long non-coding RNA (248 nucleotides) under Homo sapiens (human). RNAcentral's name for it is "HSALNT0369890". The record is from RNAcentral. Lineage: Eukaryota; Metazoa; Chordata; Mammalia; Primates; Hominidae.